CCUACACACGCAAGUCGAACGGCAGCAUAAGAGAGCUUGCUCUCUUGAUGGCGAGUGGCGGACGGGUGAGUAAUGUAUAGGGAUCUGCCCAGUAGUGGGGGACAACAGCCGGAAACGGCUGCUAAUACCGCAUACGCUCUACGGAGGAAAGCGGGGGACCUUUCGGGGCCUCGCGCUAUUGGAUGAACCUAUAUCAGAUUAGCUAGUUGGUGGGGUAAUGGCCUACCAAGGCAACGAUCUGUAGCUGGUCUGAGAGGAUGAUCAGCCACACUGGGACUGAGACACGGCCCAGACUCCUACGGGAGGCAGCAGUGGGGAAUAUUGGACAAUGGGGGAAACCCUGAUCCAGCAAUGCCGCGUGUGUGAAGAAGGCCUGCGGGUUGUAAAGCACUUUCAGUAGGGAAGAUAAUGACGGUACCUACAAAAGAAGCACCGGCUAACUCCGUGCCAGCAGCCGCGGUAAUACGGAGGGUGCGAGCGUUAAUCGGAAUUACUGGGCGUAAAGCGCACGUAGGUGGUUUGGUAAGUCGGAUGUGAAAUCCCAGGGCUCAACCUUGGAAUUGCAUUCGAUACUGCCUCACUAGAGUCUAGCAGAGGGAUGGGGAAUUCCGGGUGUAGCGGUGAAAUGCGUAGAUAUUAGGAGGAACAUCAGUGGCGAAGGCGCCUUCCUGGACUAAAACUGACGCUGAGGUGCGAAAGCGUGGGUAGCGAACGGGAUUAGAUACCCCGGUAGUCCACGCCGUAAACGAUGUCAACUAGUUGUUGGCCUUAUUAAAAGGGUUAGUAACGCAGCUAACGCGAUAAGUUGACCGCCUGGGGAGUACGGUCGCAAGAUUAAAACUCAAAGGAAUUGACGGGGGCCCGC
This 865-nucleotide ribosomal RNA is filed under the name uncultured Gammaproteobacteria bacterium. RNAcentral's name for it is "bacterial SSU rRNA". It matches the Rfam family "Bacterial small subunit ribosomal RNA", at positions 48 to 924 of the family's 1533-position model. The record is from RNAcentral. Lineage: Bacteria; Pseudomonadati; Pseudomonadota; Gammaproteobacteria.